This 1433-nucleotide ribosomal RNA is filed under the name Faecalibacillus intestinalis. RNAcentral's name for it is "bacterial SSU rRNA". It matches the Rfam family "Bacterial small subunit ribosomal RNA". The record is from RNAcentral. Lineage: Bacteria; Bacillati; Bacillota; Erysipelotrichia; Erysipelotrichales; Coprobacillaceae.
AAUGGAGAGUUUGAUCCUGGCUCAGGAUGAACGCUGGCGGCGUGCCUAAUACAUGCAAGUCGAACGCUUCACUUCGGUGAAGAGUGGCGAACGGGUGAGUAAUACAUAAGUAACCUGGCAUCUACAGGGGGAUAACUGAUGGAAACGUCAGCUAAGACCGCAUAGGUGUAGAGAUCGCAUGAACUCUAUAUGAAAAGUGCUACGGGACUGGUAGAUGAUGGACUUAUGGCGCAUUAGCUGGUUGGUAGGGUAACGGCCUACCAAGGCGACGAUGCGUAGACCGAGCAACGCCGCGUGAAGGAAGAAGUAAUUCGUUAUGUAAACUUCUGUCAUAGAGGAAGAACGGUGGAUAUAGGGAAUGAUAUCCAAGUGACGGUACUCUAUAAGAAAGCCACGGCUAACUACGUGCCAGCAGCCGCGGUAAUACGUAGGUGGCGAGCGUUAUCCGGAAUUAUUGGGCGUAAAGAGGGAGCAGGCGGCACUAAGGGUCUGUGGUGAAAGAUCGAAGCUUAACUUCGGUAAGCCAUGGAAACCGUAGAGCUAGAGUGUGUGAGAGGAUCGUGGAAUUCCAUGUGUAGCGGUGAAAUGCGUAGAUAUAUGGAGGAACACCAGUGGCGAAGGCGACGAUCUGGCGCAUAACUGACGCUCAGUCCCGAAAGCGUGGGGAGCAAAUAGGAUUAGAUACCCUAGUAGUCCACGCCGUAAACGAUGAGUACUAAGUGUUGGGAGUCAAAUCUCAGUGCUGCAGUUAACGCAAUAAGUACUCCGCCUGAGUAGUACGUUCGCAAGAAUGAAACUCAAAGGAAUUGACGGGGGCCCGCACAAGCGGUGGAGCAUGUGGUUUAAUUCGAAGCAACGCGAAGAACCUUACCAGGUCUUGACAUCGAUCUAAAGGCUCCAGAGAUGGAGAGAUAGCUAUAGAGAAGACAGGUGGUGCAUGGUUGUCGUCAGCUCGUGUCGUGAGAUGUUGGGUUAAGUCCCGCAACGAGCGCAACCCCUGUUGCCAGUUGCCAGCAUUAAGUUGGGGACUCUGGCGAGACUGCCGGUGACAAGCCGGAGGAAGGCGGGGAUGACGUCAAAUCAUCAUGCCCCUUAUGACCUGGGCUACACACGUGCUACAAUGGACAGAGCAGAGGGAAGCGAAGCCGCGAGGUGGAGCGAAACCCAUAAAACUGUUCUCAGUUCGGACUGCAGUCUGCAACUCGACUGCACGAAGAUGGAAUCGCUAGUAAUCGCGAAUCAGCAUGUCGCGGUGAAUACGUUCUCGGGCCUUGUACACACCGCCCGUCACACCAUGAGAGUCGGUAACACCCGAAGCCGGUGGCCUAACCGCAAGGAAGGAGCUGUCUAAGGUGGGACUGAUGAUUGGGGUGAAGUCGUAACAAGGUAUCCCUACGGGAACGUGGGGAUGGAUCACCUCCUUUCUAGGGAGA